Molecule: ribosomal RNA, 1372 nt
Filed under: uncultured bacterium
Lineage: Bacteria
Description: bacterial SSU rRNA
Rfam family: Bacterial small subunit ribosomal RNA
Source: RNAcentral
GAUGAACGCUGGCGGCGUGCCUAAUACAUGCAAGUCGAGCGAACGGACGAGAAGCUUGCUUCUCUGAUGUUAGCGGCGGACGGGUGAGUAACACGUGGAUAACCUACCUAUAAGACUGGGAUAACUUCGGGAAACCGGAGCUAAUACCGGAUAAUAUUUUGAACCGCAUGGUUCAAAAGUGAAAGACGGUCUUGCUGUCACUUAUAGAUGGAUCCGCGCUGCAUUAGCUAGUUGGUAAGGUAACGGCUUACCAAGGCAACGAUGCAUAGCCGACCUGAGAGGGUGAUCGGCCACACUGGAACUGAGACACGGUCCAGACUCCUACGGGAGGCAGCAGUAGGGAAUCUUCCGCAAUGGGCGAAAGCCUGACGGAGCAACGCCGCGUGAGUGAUGAAGGUCUUCGGAUCGUAAAACUCUGUUAUUAGGGAAGAACAUAUGUGUAAGUAACUGUGCACAUCUUGACGGUACCUAAUCAGAAAGCCACGGCUAACUACGUGCCAGCAGCCGCGGUAAUACGUAGGUGGCAAGCGUUAUCCGGAAUUAUUGGGCGUAAAGCGCGCGUAGGCGGUUUUUUAAGUCUGAUGUGAAAGCCCACGGCUCAACCGUGGAGGGUCAUUGGAAACUGGAAAACUUGAGUGCAGAAGAGGAAAGUGGAAUUCCAUGUGUAGCGGUGAAAUGCGCAGAGAUAUGGAGGAACACCAGUGGCGAAGGCGACUUUCUGGUCUGUAACUGACGCUGAUGUGCGAAAGCGUGGGGAUCAAACAGGAUUAGAUACCCUGGUAGUCCACGCCGUAAACGAUGAGUGCUAAGUGUUAGGGGGUUUCCGCCCCUUAGUGCUGCAGCUAACGCAUUAAGCACUCCGCCUGGGGAGUACGACCCCAAGGUUGAAACUCAAAGGAAUUGACGGGGACCCGCACAAGCGGUGGAGCAUGUGGUUUAAUUCGAAGCAACGCGAAGAACCUUACCAAAUCUUGACAUCCUUUGACAACUCUAGAGAUAGAGCUUUCCCCUUCGGGGGACAAAGUGACAGGUGGUGCAUGGUUGUCGUCAGCUCGUGUCGUGAGAUGUUGGGUUAAGUCCCGCAACGAGCGCAACCCUUAAGCUUAGUUGCCAUCAUUAAGUUGGGCACUCUAAGUUGACUGCCGGUGACAAACCGGAGGAAGGUGGGGAUGACGUCAAAUCAUCAUGCCCCUUAUGAUUUGGGCUACACACGUGCUACAAUGGACAAUACAAAGGGCAGCGAAACCGCGAGGUCAAGCAAAUCCCAUAAAGUUGUUCUCAGUUCGGAUUGUAGUCUGCAACUCGACUACAUGAAGCUGGAAUCGCUAGUAAUCGUAGAUCAGCAUGCUACGGUGAAUACGUUCCCGGGUCU